CAGCAGCCGCGGUAAUACGUAGGUGGCAAGCGUUGUCCGGAAUUAUUGGGCGUAAAGCGCGCGCAGGCGGAUAGGUCAGUCUGUCUUAAAAGUGCGGGGCUCAACCCCGUGAGGGGAUGGAAACUGUAUGCCUCGAGUGCAGGAGAGGAAAGCGGAAUUCCCAGUGUAGCGGUGAAAUGCGUAGAUAUUCGCAAGAACACCAGUGGCGAAGGCGGCUCACUGGCCCGAUACUGACGCUGAGGCACGAAAGCGUGGGGAGCAAACAGGAUUAGAUACCCCUGUAGUCCCUGUCUCUUAUACA
This 301-nucleotide ribosomal RNA is filed under the name uncultured bacterium. RNAcentral describes it as "partial 16S ribosomal RNA". It matches the Rfam family "Bacterial small subunit ribosomal RNA", at positions 509 to 808 of the family's 1533-position model. The record is from RNAcentral.